UAGGGAAUAUUGCACAAUGGGGGAAACCCUGAUGCAGCGACGCCGCGUGAGUGAUGAGGGCCUUCGGGUCGUAAAGCUCUGUUGAACGGGAAGAAACAAAUGACGGUACCGUUUAAGAAAGGAUCGGCUAACUUCGUGCCAGCAGCCGCGGUAAUACGAGGGAUCCUAGCGUUGUUCGGAAUCAUUGGGCGUAAAGAGUAUGUAGGCGGCCUAGUAAGUCAGUUGUGAAAGCCCCGGGCUCAACCCGGGAAGUGCAAUUGAUACUGCUUGGCUUGAAUGUGGAAGAGGGCAGUAGAAUUCCAGGUGUAGUGGUGAAAUGCGUAGAUAUCAGAAAGAACACCGGUGGCGAAGGCGGCUACCUGGACUUUAACUGACACUGAGGCGCGAAAGCGUGGGGAGCAAACAGGAUUAGAUACCCUGGUAGUCCCUGAGCGGGCUGGCAAGGCGCAU
Molecule: ribosomal RNA, 450 nt
Filed under: uncultured bacterium
Lineage: Bacteria
Description: bacterial SSU rRNA
Rfam family: Bacterial small subunit ribosomal RNA
Source: RNAcentral